AACGAACGCUGGCGGCAUGCCUAACACAUGCAAGUCGAACGAGACCUUCGGGUCUAGUGGCGCACGGGUGCGUAACGCGUGGGAACCUGCCCUUAGGUUCGGAAUAACUCCCCGAAAGGGGUGCUAAUACCGGAUAAUGUCUUCGGACCAAAGAUUUAUCGCCUUUGGAUGGGCCCGCGUUGGAUUAGCUAGUUGGUAGGGUAAAAGCCUACCAAGGCGACGAUCCAUAGCUGGUCUGAGAGGAUGAUCAGCCACACUGGGACUGAGACACGGCCCAGACUCCUACGGGAGGCAGCAGUGGGGAAUAUUGGACAAUGGGCGAUAGCCUGAUCCAGCAAUGCCGGGUGAGUGAUGAAGGCCUUAGGGUUGUAAAGCUCUUUUACCCGGGAUGAUAAUGACAGUACCGGGAGAAUAAGCUCCGGCUAACUCCGUG
This 433-nucleotide ribosomal RNA is filed under the name uncultured bacterium. RNAcentral's name for it is "partial 16S ribosomal RNA". It matches the Rfam family "Bacterial small subunit ribosomal RNA", at positions 29 to 507 of the family's 1533-position model. The record is from RNAcentral.